RNAcentral lists this long non-coding RNA (613 nucleotides) under Fukomys damarensis (Damara mole-rat). Its description in RNAcentral is "lncRNA (ENSFDAG00000029900.1)". Lineage: Eukaryota; Metazoa; Chordata; Mammalia; Rodentia; Bathyergidae. The record is from RNAcentral.
AGACCAGCCUGAUGCCUCCUUCCCUCUGAAUUGGCAGUGGACCUCCAGGGACGUGAUUUAGGGAAGAUGGAAGAGGAGGAGCUGGUGGCAGGACAAGGAACUCGGUCGAUUCAAGGAUGGCGCUCCCUGUUUCCAGGCCCAUGGGAUCGUGGCCAGGGACUUCCUGGAAAUAUUGAGAUCAAGAAGAUCUUUUUCUGCUGGUUUUGGAUAGCAGAUUGUGACUGGAAACAACUUUGGGAAACUGGGGCCAAAUGAAGAACACUGCCUAGAAUAAAACCUCACAGAGGAAGAAGCCAAGAACUUACAGUCUUUCCUGAAGAACUUGAGAGUCACUGACAGAACCCAUUAAUCUUCCAGAACCUCUAAAGUCUUCUGAGUGUUGCUUGAUUUGUCUUUCAAGAACAAUAAACCACACAGACAUCUGCUUUUUCUUCUAGGUUCUGCUACAGAGAAAACUUUUUCUGGUAUCUCUGAUGUUGUAUACCAGGUUGUGAGCCUAAAACUUAUAUCUUACAGAUCUUAAUUUGCAAUAUUUGUUACAAAUUUUCCCCUUCCUAUGAAAAUAUUUUAUUUUGUAAUUUCCCCAGUUUUCAUUUCUAUAUAACUAUGUCAG